Molecule: transfer RNA, 66 nt
Filed under: Loxodonta africana (African savanna elephant)
Lineage: Eukaryota; Metazoa; Chordata; Mammalia; Proboscidea; Elephantidae
Rfam family: tRNA
About the family: Transfer RNA (tRNA) molecules are approximately 80 nucleotides in length.
Source: Rfam by way of RNAcentral
GGCAGGGUGGUUCAUUGGUAGAAUCCUUGCCUUCUGUGCAGGAGACCCAGGUUCGAUUCCCUGCCA